GACAGAGGUGCCAAGCGUUAGGCGGAAUCAUUGGGCGUAAAGAGCGUGUAGGCGGCUCGGUAAGUCUGCUGUGAAAGUCCAGGGCUCAACCCUGGAAUGCCGGUGGAAACUGUCGGGCUCGAGUCCGGAAGAGGCGAGUGGAAUUCCUGGUGUAGCGGUGAAAUGCGCAGAUAUCAGGAGGAACACCAAUGGCGAAGGCAGCUCGCUGGGACGGUACUGACGCUGAGACGCGAAAGCGUGGGGAGCAAACAGG
RNAcentral lists this ribosomal RNA (253 nucleotides) under uncultured bacterium. Its description in RNAcentral is "partial 16S ribosomal RNA". It matches the Rfam family "Bacterial small subunit ribosomal RNA", at positions 524 to 776 of the family's 1533-position model. The record is from RNAcentral.